This 254-nucleotide ribosomal RNA is filed under the name uncultured bacterium. RNAcentral's name for it is "partial 16S ribosomal RNA". It matches the Rfam family "Bacterial small subunit ribosomal RNA", at positions 524 to 776 of the family's 1533-position model. The record is from RNAcentral.
UACGUAGGGUGCAAGCGUUGUCCGGAAUUAUUGGGCGUAAAGAGCUCGUAGGCGGUGUGUCACGUCGGCCGUGAAAACCUGCAGCUUAACUGUGGGCUUGCGGUCGAUACGGGCAUCACUGGAGUUCGGCAGGGGAGACUGGAAUUCCUGGUGUAGCGGUGAAAUGCGUAGAUAUCUGGAGGAACACCGGUGGCGAAGGCGGCGUCCUGGACCAACACUGACACUGAGGAGCGAAAGCCAGGGGAGCAAACGGG